UUUCCGUAGGUGAACCUGCGGAAGGAUCAUUAUACUAAAAACGAGGCGCCAGGCCCGUCGCUGACCCGAACAACCGUGCACGCCCGUUUGCCCUUACAUACCUCCAUCUCACCCCUAUCUCCCCCACCCUGCCCCGCCCCCUAUGGCGUGUUCGGUGGGGGGCUCACGCUUUUACACAAACCUUGAACGCUGUGAAUAUUGUAUUUUUUGUUUUUUCGAUCACGUAAGCCACCCAACUUUCAACAACGGAACUCAUGUCUCUGCCACCGAUGAAGUACC
Molecule: unclassified non-coding RNA, 279 nt
Filed under: plant metagenome
Description: partial contains small subunit ribosomal RNA, internal transcribed spacer 1, and 5.8S ribosomal RNA
Source: RNAcentral